This 130-nucleotide small nucleolar RNA is filed under the name Choloepus hoffmanni (Hoffmann's two-fingered sloth). RNAcentral's name for it is "Small nucleolar RNA SNORA44 (ENSCHOG00000015751.1)". It matches the Rfam family "Small nucleolar RNA SNORA44". Rfam says of the family: ACA44 is a member of the H/ACA class of snoRNA that guide the sites of modification of uridines to pseudouridines. The record is from RNAcentral. Lineage: Eukaryota; Metazoa; Chordata; Mammalia; Pilosa; Megalonychidae.
CAGUUAGGAGUGCAGCUCUGGCUGGCUGUGGCCAAGGGAUCUCCAAUCGCAAGUGAAAGCAACCUGGAGAGACUCUGACAGCCCAGGUCAGCAUAAUACCUGCAGUUGCCAUUUGAUUUUUCCUACAAUG